AUGCGUGACGACGUCGGCAUAGCAACAGCGCGUCAGCGCGCCUGCGCCUGUGCUCGUUGCCCGAGCGGCGCCAGCCGUGCCGUCAUCACCCCGCGCCCCGAGGAAGAGGCGGCCGUGCCGAAGUCGAGCUGCUCUCCGCACUGCUGCAGCGCCGCCGGGCAACCCCGGGGCUCCGAGCGCCGCCUCCGCUUCUGCAAGUGGCUGUUCUGGGGGAGGCCUGAAGGGGUCCCCUCCGCGGGCGCCGCGAGCCGCCCUGCGUUGGCCCCGCGGGGCCUCUGUGGCACUCAGGGCUUCUGUUGGACGGCGGGAUGUUCCCUGUGCCUCCUCCCCUCCCAGGGAGAGAAAGAGGCGUCGUUAUUUGAGAGAACGGGCCGUGGUGGAGAUGUUACACGACCCCACGUUUAUUCCUCAGAAUUCUGAUCCAAAUUCCAGUCCAAACCAAGGCCAUGAUCCUGAGAGAGUCAGGCGUACACCAAGUAUGUGGCAUAUGUGCACAAGGUCUGCACCAGGUGAGUAUGGCGGUACAUGAGCAGCAACGUCUGGCAGAGGG
This 550-nucleotide long non-coding RNA is filed under the name Coturnix japonica (Japanese quail). Its description in RNAcentral is "lncRNA (ENSCJPG00005007672.1)". Lineage: Eukaryota; Metazoa; Chordata; Aves; Galliformes; Phasianidae. The record is from RNAcentral.